GUCGAGCGCGGGAAGCAAGCAGAUCUCCUUCGGGAGUGACGCUUGUGGAACGAGCGGCGGACGGGUGAGUAACACGUGGGCAACCUACCUGUAAGACUGGGAUAACUCCGGGAAACCGGGGCUAAUACCGGAUGAAACAAAGCGUCGCAUGACGCAAUGUUAAAAGGCGGCAUAUGCUGUCACUUACAGAUGGGCCCGCGGCGCAUUAGCUAGUUGGUGAGGUAAAGGCUCACCAAGGCAACGAUGCGUAGCCGACCUGAGAGGGUGAUCGGCCACACUGGGACUGAGACACGGCCCAGACUCCUACGGGAGGCAGCAGUAGGGAAUCUUCCGCAAUGGACGAAAGUCUGACGGAGCAACGCCGCGUGAGUGAUGAAGGUUUUCGGAUCGUAAAACUCUGUUGUUAGGGAAGAACAAGUGCCAUUCGAAUAGGUUGGCACCUUGACGGUACCUAACCAGAAAGCCCCGGCUAACUACGUGCCAGCAGCCGCGGUAAUACGUAAGGGGCAAGCGUUGUCCGGAAU
RNAcentral lists this ribosomal RNA (524 nucleotides) under Virgibacillus dokdonensis. Its description in RNAcentral is "bacterial SSU rRNA". It matches the Rfam family "Bacterial small subunit ribosomal RNA", at positions 46 to 551 of the family's 1533-position model. Lineage: Bacteria; Bacillati; Bacillota; Bacilli; Caryophanales; Bacillaceae. The record is from RNAcentral.